Molecule: ribosomal RNA, 345 nt
Filed under: uncultured Anaerolineaceae bacterium
Lineage: Bacteria; Bacillati; Chloroflexota; Anaerolineae; Anaerolineales; Anaerolineaceae
Description: bacterial SSU rRNA
Rfam family: Bacterial small subunit ribosomal RNA
Source: RNAcentral
GCGUUGUUACAGGUUGCUGCAUGGCUGUCGUCAGCUCGUGUCGUGAGAUGUUCGGUUAAGUCCGCUAACGAGCGCAACCCUCGCUGUGUGUUACAAGUGUCACACGGAACUGCCGGUCAUAAACCGGAGGAAGGUGGGGAUGACGUCAAGUCAGCAUGGCCUUUAUAUCCUGGGCUACACACACGCUACAAUGGGAAGGGACAAUAGGUUGCGAAGCCGCGAGGCGGAGCCAAUCCAGCAAAACUUCCCUCAGUUCAGAUUGCAGGCUGCAACCCGCCUGCAUGAAGUUGGAGUUGCUAGUAAACGCAGGUCAGCCAUACUGCGUUGAAUACGUUCCCGGGGCUU